UGAUUAUGGCUCAGGACGAACGCUGGCGGCGCGCCUAACACAUGCAAGUCGAACGAGCGAGAGAGAGCUUGCUUUCUCGAGCGAGUGGCGAACGGGUGAGUAACGCGUGAGGAACCUGCCUCAAAGAGGGGGACAACAGUUGGAAAUGACUGCUAAUACCGCAUAAGCCCACGGCUCGGCAUCGAGCAGAGGGAAAAGGAGCAAUCCGCUUUGAGAUGGCCUCGCGUCCGAUUAGCUAGUUGGUGAGGUAAUGGCCCACCAAGGCGACGAUCGGUAGCCGGACUGAGAGGUUGAACGGCCACAUUGGGACUGAGACACGGCCCAGACUCCUACGGGAGGCAGCAGUGGGGAAUAUUGCACAAUGGGGGAAACCCUGAUGCAGCGACGCCGCGUGGAGGAAGAAGGUCUUCGGAUUGUAAACUCCUGUUGUUGGGGAAGAUAAUGACGGUACCCAACAAGGAAGUGACGGCUAACUACGUGCCAGCAGCCGCGGUAAAACGUAGGUCACAAGCGUUGUCCGGAAUUACUGGGUGUAAAGGGAGCGCAGGCGGGAAGACAAGUUGGAAGUGAAAUCUAUGGGCUCAACCCAUAAACUGCUUUCAAAACUGUUUUUCUUGAGUAGUGCAGAGGUAGGCGGAAUUCCCGGUGUAGCGGUGGAAUGCGUAGAUAUCGGGAGGAACACCAGUGGCGAAGGCGGCCUACUGGGCACCAACUGACGCUGAGGCUCGAAAGUGUGGGUAGCAAACAGGAUUAGAUACCCUGGUAGUCCACACCGUAAACGAUGAUUACUAGGUGUUGGAGGAUUGACCCCUUCAGUGCCGCAGUUA
RNAcentral lists this ribosomal RNA (827 nucleotides) under uncultured Bacillota bacterium. RNAcentral's name for it is "bacterial SSU rRNA". It matches the Rfam family "Bacterial small subunit ribosomal RNA", at positions 14 to 854 of the family's 1533-position model. The record is from RNAcentral. Lineage: Bacteria; Bacillati; Bacillota.